CUUUUUUAAAAUGUUGUGUACGUCGAAAAGAAGGUGAAAGCAAUUUGCCCAUAAUAUUUAUUAUUUUGAUUCUGAUUGGCUGUCAAAGAUUUGUGUCGGCAAAAAUCUCCAAGGAUCGCUGAUAAAGUUCAAAUCCUUUGGCGAUAUACGCAUGCUCACAUCACAAUCCUUAGAGUCCGAGCGGCUGAAAUUCGCCUAACGAAGAUCAGCCUUAACGUAUGUGCAACAUUCCUCCGCCCUUGAAAGAACAUAACAUAAAAGAAUCUGCAAAACAUAUGUACUUUCUCUCCAUUGCCAGCAUUCGCCGCAGUAGUUGAAAUAACUUUAACUACCACAACAAAUUGAAAUUUAUCAACCAAUUAGAUUUCGAAAUACGUUUUCCAAAUGAGUUUUAGAAGAAAAGUUGAUGAUAAAGAAUAACUUUGUGUACAAUAUUUAAGGUAAACAAUGGAUAUCUUAUUAUUGAGUAUAAAAUUGAGUGUAAUGAGAAAAGAAAAGUGCUCAAAUGGAGUAAACUAACAAACUGGUGGUAUCAAACUAAAUAGUGUCUCUUCAUUUAUGCAAGUUUAAUUUUUUACGCUUAUACGUUAUCGGGGAAAAAUAGUCGGAGAAAAGUAACUAAAUUUUUUGCAAGUAACUUAAUUUUUCCUCGACCAAAAUUUCUCCCGAUUAUUUUUUCCCCGACUAGUACUUUUACCCGAUUUUUUAUACCCGACUAAGAAUUUACCCCGACCUUUUUCUGUUAUCCUAAACCUUUUUUUUUAUUGUUACCACCAUCAUAAAUAGCAAGGAAGAUUACAAAAAAGGAUCGGGGACAUAAAAAACAAAAUGGAAACAAGAAGAAACAACAUUUUACUUAUUCUCGUAGUUGUUUUUGUAUGAAAAACAUACAUAGACAAAUAAAAAAAAUUAUUCAAAUUCCCUUGUGAGGUUA
This is a long non-coding RNA of Hydractinia symbiolongicarpus, 934 nucleotides long. RefSeq lists it as uncharacterized. The record is from RefSeq and is a predicted model, not a curated record. NCBI's taxonomy places the organism in Eukaryota, Metazoa, Cnidaria, Hydrozoa, Anthoathecata, Hydractiniidae. The transcript has 3 exons.